AUACAGAAGGUUUGCCAUGCCACGUGAAUGACAUCAAGAGCCACCAUGAACUGUGUCUAGUAGAUGUUUUGUGCCUCACAGAAACUCACCUACAAGGCUCCUUUGUUGCAGACAGUCUCCAUUUAGAGGGCUACACUAUGUUCAAACGUAACAGACACCUGUCCUACACAAAUGUUCCACAGAUGGCCAACAAACGUGGUGGUGGCGUUGCUGUUUAUGUGAAAGAGCACAUUCAAGUAUGUGAAAAACAGUACAUUCAUAAUGUCACUGACCUUGAGUUUUUGGCUCUGAAGGUUGAAACACCAGUGAGUGCUUUGCUUGCAGCUGUGUACAGACCUCCGGACUACAGUGUGACAUAAUUUCUGUCAAACCUGGGAAGCCUGUUGGACUCAUUGGAGAUCAUGGAUUGCCAUCCUAUCAUUGUCUGUGGGGAUUUCAACGAGAAUCACUUAUCCAACGCAAGCAAGCCAAUCCUUGAGCUGUUUCAGUCCCAGGGAUAUGUACAACUUAUCACUGCUGCCACCACAGAUAAGAACACACUUCUGGACCUCAAUUUCAUCUCUAAACCGGAGCACUGUCUCCACUCUGGUGUGAUUAGAACCUAUUACAGUUAUCAUAAUCCUGUAUACUGUCAUGUCCUCUAACAGUCCAUAAAGAUGGCAGCAUAUAUUAAUAACAGUUUGCUUUAAAAGACAAAAUUAUUGAAACCUCCAAUGGUCUAAUAAUUUAAAGGUGUUUUUGUUGCAGCUGUACCUGAUAAUUUUUUCAGCACAGUUAUCAGGUAAAACAAAAAUCCACUGAGCAUUAUGUUGUGUUUUUUUUUAGGAUAACUCAUUGUUGUUGAACUCGGUUUAUCUUGCUAUGUAAUGUAAACCCAAUUUUGCAGUUACACAGCAUAUUAUUGUACUUACUUUAAUAAGCAUAGUAAGACAUAUUGUUUGGUAAUUUUAACUUUUGGUAGUAUUGGAUAAUGUGGUCACAUUAGGCAACCAUAUUGUUAUGAGAUAUAUUUACAACAUAUCUUGGGCUGUACAGCCCUAAACAUUCAUACAGCAUUGCACACAUCUGCUAUUAUUUUGUGUAGCAGAAAUACAUCAGAAAGUAUGUUCUGUAUAUGCAACACACACUUUCUGGUAUAUUGGUACCUACCAGCUCAAACCCCACAUUUAUAUGCCACCCAGUUUCAGGGUGGGUGGCUGUUAUAGACUAUAACUCAUGUAGGUUUACUUUCCCCUGGAUGAGAGACACAGUUUUCCUGUGUCCUCUGUGAGGACACCUCCAGCUUUGGCCUCACAUCCUUCAUCACUGUGAAGAACGACAACUACCAACAAAAGGAUGUAGCAACAGCUCUCUCCAUCAACAAUGGACAGACAAUCACUGUUGGACCUCACAGGGACACCUUUUCCUUCAUGCUAGUCCCAGUCAUUCUUCCAAGCAGAGGAUGAGAUAACACCUGCCUGCCUUUGUCUCACCUUCUCUCUCUCGCUCUAAAACUGAAAAAAUGGACCACACUGCCUGCUUUCCACCUGACAGCGCUGAAGAGUCUUCACAACAGAAGGACUGCUACAUUCUCCUACGUCCACAUCUUCACAUCCAAUGCUGUCCACAGUUCAGUAGAGCCUAAGCACUUAUUUUUGUGACCAGUUUUACUAUAAAGGAACAAUUUUUUGGAGUGCCGCUGUCCUAGUUUCUUCUUUUCAGCAGAGCCUAAGUACUGUUGAUGUUUGGCGAGUGAUCAGGUGAACUGAUGCAGGGAACAAAACUUAACGAUGAUCAUUCAUUAGUCAGUCAUCACUAUCACAAGAUCCCUUUUUGACCAAAGAACUAACAAAAACUGUUUGUGGUUGCUAUUUGAAUUAGGAAUGCAAGGCAUUAUGGUUUUUUUUUUUUUUUAAAGACUUUUCCAUGUAAGGCCUCUGCUCCUCCAUGUCACAACAGUAAUGCUGUCCUCACACCAAAGACUGGCCAGAUACCUGAAAUCAGCAGUUCUACAGCCCCUGGAUCAUCAAAGGUCACGAUUGUUCCAGUCCCUUACAUCUUCACAAGUACACUUUGCUCUGUUAAGAGUUUUGGUUUGUGCCAACAAUGGACAGAUUAAACAAUUAGCAAUUUACGCUACUGACCCAUGGACACACAUUCUAGGACACCAAUUUUUUUUGGUACAUUGAUAAUAUAUUUCACAAAAUUUUUUAAUUAUUAGUAUGGGGUUUUGAGCUGGUAGACAUAUUAAAGGAUUAAACCAUUGAAAUAUA
Rana temporaria (common frog) is the source of this 2252-nucleotide long non-coding RNA. RefSeq lists it as uncharacterized. The transcript is spliced from 2 exons. Lineage: Eukaryota; Metazoa; Chordata; Amphibia; Anura; Ranidae. The record is from RefSeq and is a predicted model, not a curated record.